CCUACGGGAGGCGGCAGUGGGGAAUUUUGGACAAUGGGCGAAAGCCUGAUCCAGCAAUGCCGCGUGAGUGAAGAAGGCCUUCGGGUUGUAAAGCUCUUUUGUCAGGGAAGAAACGGUGUUUUCUAAUACAGAAUGCUAAUGACGGUACCUGAAGAGUAAGCACCGGCUAACUACGUGCCAGCAGCCGCGGUAAUACGUAGGGUGCAAGCGUUAAUCGGAAUUACUGGGCGUAAAGCGUGCGCAGGCGGUUUUGUAAGUCUGACGUGAAAUCCCCGGGCUCAACCUGGGAAUUGCGUUGGAGACUGCAAGGCUAGAGUUUGGCAGAGGGGGGUAGAAUUCCACGUGUAGCAGUGAAAUGCGUAGAUAUGUGGAGGAACACCGAUGGCGAAGGCAGCCCCCUGGGUCAAGACUGACGCUCAUGCACGAAAGCGUGGGGAGCAAACAGGAUUAGAUACCCUGGUAGUCCACGCCCUAAACGAUGUCUACUAGUUGUCGGGUCUUAAUUGACUUGGUAACGCAGCUAACGCGUGAAGUAGACCGCCUGGGGAGUACGGUCGCAAGAUUAAAAACUCAAAGGAAUUGACGG
RNAcentral lists this ribosomal RNA (586 nucleotides) under uncultured bacterium. Its description in RNAcentral is "bacterial SSU rRNA". It matches the Rfam family "Bacterial small subunit ribosomal RNA", at positions 338 to 916 of the family's 1533-position model. The record is from RNAcentral.